GGGGGGUAGAAUUUCAGGUGUAGCGGUGAAAUGCGUAGAGAUCUGAAGGAAUACCGGUGGCGAAGGCGGCCCCCUGGACAGAUACUGACACUCAGAUGCGAAAGCGUGGGGAGCAAACAGGAUUAGAUACCCUGGUAGUCCACGCCGUAAACGAUGUCUACUUGGAGGUUGUGGCCUUGAGCCGUGGCUUUCGGAGCUAACGCGUUAAGUAGACCGCCUGGGGAGUACGGUCGCAAGAUUAAAACUCAAAUGAAUUGACGGGGGCCCGCACAAGCGGUGGAGCAUGUGGUUUAAUUCGAUGCAACGCGAAGAACCUUACCUACUCUUGACAUCCAGAGAACUUUCCAGAGAUGGAUUGGUGCCUUCGGGAACUCUGAGACAGGUGCUGCAUGGCUGUCGUCAGCUCGUGUUGUGAAAUGUUGGGUUAAGUCCCGCAACGAGCGCAACCCUUAUCCUUGUUUGCCAGCGAGUAAUGUCGGGAACUCCAGGGAGACUGCCGGUGAUAAACCGGAGGAAGGUGGGGACGACGUCAAGUCAUCAUGGCCCUUACGAGUAGGGCUACACACGUGCUACAAUGGCGCAUACAGAGGGCGGCCAACUUGCGAAAGUGAGCGAAUCCCAAAAAGUGCGUCGUAGUCCGGAUUGGAGUCUGCAACUCGACUCCAUGAAGUCGGAAUCGCUAGUAAUCGUGGAUCAGAAUGCCACGGUGAAUACGUUCCCGGGCCUUGUACACACCGCCCGUCACACCAUGGGAGUGGGCUGCAAAAGAAGUAGGUAGUUUAACCUUCGGGGGGACGCUUACCACUUUGUGGUUCAUGACUGGGGUGAAGUCGUAACAAGGUAGCGCUAGGGGAACCUGGCGCUGGAUCACCUCCUUAAACGAUGAU
This 887-nucleotide ribosomal RNA is filed under the name Vibrio parahaemolyticus. RNAcentral's name for it is "bacterial SSU rRNA". It matches the Rfam family "Bacterial small subunit ribosomal RNA", at positions 656 to 1533 of the family's 1533-position model. The record is from RNAcentral. Lineage: Bacteria; Pseudomonadati; Pseudomonadota; Gammaproteobacteria; Vibrionales; Vibrionaceae.